GUGGGAAGAAGGAGGAUGUGAAGAGCAGUGGUGGGGGUAGCCGAACGGAGAUCUUGGAGAGCUUUGAUUCGCCCAGUCCGCCAGUGCCAACUUUCGACUACAAGUAGAAUAAAGCAGGAUUUCAUGGAAGGUACUGAAGUUAUUAUUUGUUUGUCGACUCUGCUUCAUUGUUGGUCAAGAUCAAUAUUUGCCAUGUUUGGGUUCAAGAUGGUUUUUAGCUAUGUAAUAUGUUAAUUUGUCACAGUAUUUAUAGGUUUUUAGUGUGAUAAGCUUGUUUUGUUACUGGUAAUAAAGUAACAAC
This 301-nucleotide unclassified non-coding RNA is filed under the name Hevea brasiliensis (rubber tree). The record is from RNAcentral. Lineage: Eukaryota; Viridiplantae; Streptophyta; Magnoliopsida; Malpighiales; Euphorbiaceae.